AGUGAACGCUGGCGGUAGGCCUAACGCAUGCAAGUCGAACGGCAGCACAGUAAGAGCUUGCUCUUACGGGUGGCGAGUGGCGGACGGGUGAGGAAUACAUCGGAAUCUACUUUUUCGUGGGGGAUAACGUAGGGAAACUUACGCUAAUACCGCAUACGACCUACGGGUGAAAGCAGGGGAUCUUCGGACCUUACGCGAUUGAAUGAGCCGAUGUCGGAUUAGCUAGUUGGCGGGGUAAAGGCCCACCAAGGCGACGAUCCGUAGCUGGUCUGAGAGGAUGAUCAGCCACACUGGAACUGAGACACGGUCCAGACUCCUACGGGAGGCAGCAGUGGGGAAUAUUGGACAAUGGGCGCAAGCCUGAUCCAGCCAUACCGCGUGGGUGAAGAAGGCCUUCGGGUUGUAAAGCCCUUUUGUUGGGAAAGAAAAGCAGCAGGUUAAUACCCCGCUGUUCUGACGGUACCCAAAGAAUAAGCACCGGCUAACUUCGUG
Molecule: ribosomal RNA, 492 nt
Filed under: uncultured bacterium
Lineage: Bacteria
Description: partial 16S ribosomal RNA
Rfam family: Bacterial small subunit ribosomal RNA
Source: RNAcentral